GACGAACGCUGGCGGCGUGCUUAACACAUGCAAGUCGAACGGAAAGGCCCUGCUUUUGUGGGGUGCUCGAGUGGCGAACGGGUGAGUAACACGUGAGUAACCUGCCCUUGACUUUGGGAUAACUUCAGGAAACUGGGGCUAAUACCGGAUAGGAGCUCCUGCUGCAUGGUGGGGGUUGGAAAGUUUCGGCGGUUGGGGAUGGACUCGCGGCUUACCAGCUUGUUGGUGGGGUAGUGGCUUACCAAGGCUUUGACGGGUAGCCGGCCUGAGAGGGUGACCGGGCACAUUGGGACUGAGAUACGGCCCAGACUCCUACGGGAGGCAGCAGUGGAGAAUAUUGCACAGUGGGCGGAAGCCUGAUGCAGCAACGCCGCGUGCGGGAUGACGGCCUUCGGGUUGUAAACCGCUUUCGCCUGUGACGAAGCGGGAGUGACGGUAAUGGGUAAAGAAGCGCCGGCUAACUACGUG
RNAcentral lists this ribosomal RNA (468 nucleotides) under uncultured bacterium. RNAcentral's name for it is "partial 16S ribosomal RNA". It matches the Rfam family "Bacterial small subunit ribosomal RNA", at positions 28 to 507 of the family's 1533-position model. The record is from RNAcentral.